RNAcentral lists this ribosomal RNA (228 nucleotides) under uncultured bacterium. Its description in RNAcentral is "partial 16S ribosomal RNA". It matches the Rfam family "Bacterial small subunit ribosomal RNA", at positions 568 to 795 of the family's 1533-position model. The record is from RNAcentral.
UGCGCAGGUGGGGAUGUAAGUCAGUGGUGAAAUGUUGCCGCUCAACGGUAAAAUUGCCAUUGAUACUGCAUCUCUUGAGUAUGGUUGAGGUAGGCGGAAUGUGUUGUGUAGCGGUGAAAUGCAUAGAUAUGACACAGAACACCGAUUGCGAAGGCAGCUUACUAAGCCAUUACUGACGCUGAGGCACGGAAGCGUGGGGAGCGAACAGGAUUAGAUACCCUGGUAGUC